This is an RNA transcript of Macrobrachium nipponense, 1907 nucleotides long. It is a transcript of the gene named pyruvate kinase-like, with no coding region annotated. Lineage: Eukaryota; Metazoa; Arthropoda; Malacostraca; Decapoda; Palaemonidae. The record is from RefSeq and is a predicted model, not a curated record. The transcript has 12 exons.
UUCAAUAUUGUAGUGUCAUAAUGGAUUUUGUGUGCUACAUGAACAUAGUUAUUUGUGCAUACAUGUAAAACAUAUGUAUGUUGCUUUCUGGUGUGAAGAAUGCAAUAAGCGUCUCAAGUCGGGCAUUAUGUGAGGUUGGAGGCAAAUUCUCCUGGCACAGAUUUGAGAUGUCGAACGUAGCACCCAUGCAGCUUGGGGCAGCCAAUGCCUUCACACAAGUUGAGCAUAUGGCUGCCUUGGAUAUAGAUUCUAAGCCCUUUACCAAGCGACUCUCGGGAAUUAUUUGUACCAUUGGACCAGUAUCUCGAUCAGUUGAAAUGUUGGUACAGAUGAUGGAAGCAGGCAUGAACAUUGCACGAAUGAACUUCUCUCAUGGUACUCAUGAAUAUCAUUCAGAGACCAUGAUGAACGUUCGUAAAGCUGCCGAGAUCUACUCCAAUAAAAUUGGCCAUUCCUACCCUGUAGCAAUUGCACUUGACACUAAGGGACCUGAAAUUCGUACUGGACUGUUAGAGGGUGGAGCUUCAGCUGAGGUAGAAUUAAAGAAAGGAGAUGAAAUUAAACUUACUACCGACAAAGAAUUCUACGAGAAGUGCACAGAGAAGCUUCUUUAUCUUGAUUAUGUGAACAUUACCAAAGUUGUGAAACCUGGUAACAGGAUUUUUGUUGAUGAUGGCCUGAUUUCUCUUAUUGCAAAGGAUAUUGGUGGUGAUUACAUUGUUUGUGAUGUUGAAAAUGGUGGUAUGUUGGGUAGCAAGAAGGGUGUUAACCUCCCCGGUGUUCCAGUAGAUCUUCCUGCAGUUUCAGAGAAAGAUCGUGGAGAUCUUUUACUUGGAGUGAAGAUGCGUGUUGACAUGGUAUUUGCAUCAUUCAUUCGUGAUGCUGCUGGAGUUAGAGAAAUCAGAGAUGUUCUUGGUGAACAGGGCAAGAACAUCAAGAUCAUUAGCAAGAUUGAAAAUCACCAGGGCUGCAAGAACAUUGAUUCCAUUAUUGAGGAAGGAGAUGGUAUCAUGAUUGCUCGUGGUGAUUUGGGCAUUGAAAUUCCCGCUGAAAAAGUUUUUAUCGCCCAGAAGCAGAUGCUUGCAAAAUGCAAUAAGGUUGGGAAGCCAGUCAUUUGUGCUACACAGAUGUUGGAGUCUAUGGUAAAGAAACCCAGACCAACCCGUGCUGAGGUUUCUGAUGUAGGUAAUGCCAUUCUUGAUGGAGCUGACUGUGUUAUGCUGUCUGGAGAGACUGCCAAGGGCGACUAUCCUCUCGUUUGUGUGCGAACAAUGGCAAAUAUUGCACGAGAAGCAGAGUCUGCUUUGUGGCAUAAACAGCUGUUUACAGAGCUGUCACAGACUGUCCCCAUGCCUAUUGAUUCCACUCAUACCACUGCUAUUGCAUCAGUUGAAGCCUCUUUCAAGGCAAUGGCAUCUGCUAUCAUAGUUUUAACCACCACUGGCCGUUCAGCCCAUCUCGUUUCCAAAUACAGACCACGUUGUCCCAUUAUUGCUGUCACACGUUUCCCAAAUGUCGCCCGUCAAUGUCAUCUUUACCGUGGUAUUAUACCAAUCCACUACACAGUUCCUCAAAAUGCUGAACGCGUCGAAGACUGGAUGGAUGAUGUAAAUGCUCGUGUAGACUAUGCUGUCGAGUAUGGUAAGCAGAUUGGCUUCAUCAAGUCAGGAGAUCCAGUUGUGGUUGUCACUGGAUGGCAGAAGGGUGCUGGAUUUACCAACACCAUGCGCGUCUUUCAUAUAUGAAAGUGCAUGCAGGCCCUUCCAUCCUAAAAUGGUAUGCUGUGUUUUCAUCGAUCAAAGACCUGCCAAAUGAGACAAGAGUUGGGAAAUCAAUAGCUUUAAAUUCUGAUCGAACAAAAGAAAUAUUAGCUUAUCUACUGCAAAAUAAAAUACUAUAAAAAUGAA